Molecule: transfer RNA, 64 nt
Filed under: Cavia porcellus (domestic guinea pig)
Lineage: Eukaryota; Metazoa; Chordata; Mammalia; Rodentia; Caviidae
Rfam family: tRNA
About the family: Transfer RNA (tRNA) molecules are approximately 80 nucleotides in length.
Source: Rfam by way of RNAcentral
GGGGAUUUAGCUCAGUGGCAUAAGUACCUGCCUUGCAAGCAGGUGGUCGUGAGUUCAGUCCCCG